This is a long non-coding RNA of Magnolia sinica, 281 nucleotides long. RefSeq lists it as uncharacterized. The record is from RefSeq and is a predicted model, not a curated record. NCBI's taxonomy places the organism in Eukaryota, Viridiplantae, Streptophyta, Magnoliopsida, Magnoliales, Magnoliaceae. The transcript has 2 exons.
CUGGACUACUACCUGAUGUAGUCGGUACUACUUGCAAUCAACAUCUUGAGAAAGUACUUGGAACAGAUCAUGCAAGCAUUCUGCGUGUUCCAUUCAGAAUGGAGAAGGGAAUUCUCCAGACUUAUAUGGAGGUAUCUUGUUCCUGCUGACUUAACUGUGGGGCAAUUUGUUUAGGUGAUUCGAAAGAGUAUGAAUCUGACCCAUGAGAAGGCCAUUUUCUUCUUUGUGAAGAAUAUUUUGCCACCCACUGGUAAGGAAUUUGAGACAAAUUUCAUUACUUC